Molecule: ribosomal RNA, 497 nt
Filed under: uncultured bacterium
Lineage: Bacteria
Description: partial 16S ribosomal RNA
Rfam family: Bacterial small subunit ribosomal RNA
Source: RNAcentral
GAUGAACGCUGGCGGCGUGCCUAAUACAUGCAAGUCGAGCGAACGGACGAGAAGCUUGCUUCUCUGAUGUUAGCGGCGGACGGGUGAGUAACACGUGGAUAACCUACCUAUAAGACUGGGAUAACUUCGGGAAACCGGAGCUAAUACCGGAUAAUAUUAUGAACCGCAUGGUUCAAAAGUUAAAGACGGUCUUGCUGUCACUUAUAGAUGGAUCCGCGCUGCAUUAGCUAGUUGGUAAGGUAACGGCUUACCAAGGCAACGAUGCAUAGCCGACCUGAGAGGGUGAUCGGCCACACUGGAACUGAGACACGGUCCAGACUCCUACGGGAGGCAGCAGUAGGGAAUCUUCCGCAAUGGGCGAAAGCCUGACGGAGCAACGCCGCGUGAGUGAUGAAGGUCUUCGGAUCGUAAAACUCUGUUAUUAGGGAAGAACAUAUGUGUAAGUAACUGUGCACAUCUUGACGGUACCUAAGCAGAAAGCCACGGCUAACUACGUG